RNAcentral lists this ribosomal RNA (428 nucleotides) under uncultured archaeon. Its description in RNAcentral is "bacterial SSU rRNA". It matches the Rfam family "Archaeal small subunit ribosomal RNA", at positions 474 to 903 of the family's 1478-position model. The record is from RNAcentral.
AACCAGCUCUUCAAGUGGUCGGGAUAAUUAUUGGGCUUAAAGUGUCCGUAGCUGGUAAGGUAAGUUCCUGGUAAAAUGAGGCAGCUUAACUGUCUUUAUGCUAGGAAUACUGCUUUACUAGAGGGCGGGAGAGGUCUGAGGUACUACAGGGGUAGGGGUGGAAUCUUAUAAUCCUUGUAGGACCACCAGUGGCGAAAGCGUCAGACUGGAACGCGCCUGACAGUGAGGGACGAAAGCCAGGGGAGCGAACCGGAUUAGAUACCCGGGUAGUCCUGGCCGUAAACGAUGCACACUAGAUGAUGGUGCGGCCAUGAGCCGUAUCAGUGUCGUAGGGAAACCGUUAAGUGUGCCGCCUGGGAAGUACGGUCGCAAGGCUGAAACUUAAAGGAAUUGGCGGGGAGCACCACAAGGGGUGAAGCUUGCGGUUU